AAAGUACUGGACAAAAAACUCUGAAUUCUAUAAACUAUUUUGGAAAGACAUCAAUAAAUACCUAAUCAAUUCAUUAAAUGAAGCAUAUAGGAAGGGUGAGCUAUCUAUAAGUCAAAAGCAAG
Haliotis rubra (blacklip abalone) is the source of this 122-nucleotide long non-coding RNA. RefSeq lists it as uncharacterized. The transcript is spliced from 3 exons. NCBI's taxonomy places the organism in Eukaryota, Metazoa, Mollusca, Gastropoda, Lepetellida, Haliotidae. The record is from RefSeq and is a predicted model, not a curated record.